RNAcentral lists this ribosomal RNA (1674 nucleotides) under marine metagenome. RNAcentral describes it as "bacterial LSU rRNA". It matches the Rfam family "Bacterial large subunit ribosomal RNA", at positions 1259 to 2925 of the family's 2925-position model. The record is from RNAcentral.
AGCUGUAAGGCUUGGUGGAGUUUUAACAAGUAAGAAUGUUGGCAUGAGUAGCAAAAAUGCCGGUGAGAAUCCGGCAGGCCGAAAGUCUAAGGAUUCCUACGCAACGUUGAUCGGCGUAGGGUUAGUCGGUCCUAAGGCGUAUCCGAAAGGAAAAGUCGAUGGAUAGCUGGUGAAUAUUCCAGCACCUAUAAUUAAUUGUUUGAUUCAAAGAGGUGACGCAGAAGGAUAAACAGAGCAUACGUAUUGGACAUCGUGUGUUUUUGCUUGUAGAUGAGUAGAGAAGGUUAAAAUAUUUUCUACGUUUGAAUUGAGGGGCGAGAAAACUAUGAGGUUCGCCUCAUAUAAUUCUGUUGAAUCUAUACUGCCCAGAAAAGCCUCGUUGAGUAGAUUUUUUGUAGACCGUACCGCAAACCAACACAGGUAGACAGGGAUAAAAGUCCCAAGGCCCUCGAGAGAACCAUCGUUAAGGAACUCGGCAAAUUGACCCCGUAACUUAGGGAGAAGGGGGGCCUUCUUUGUAUAUGAGCUUGCCUCAAAAAGCAUAGAAGGUAGCAUAAAAUAGGCUGAAGCGACUGUUUACCAAAAACACAGGUCCAUGCCAAAGCGUAAGCUGAUGUAUAUGGGCUGACGCCUGCCCAGUGCCGGUAGGUUAAGGAAAGUUGUGCAAGCAACUGACUGAAGCCCCGGUGAACGGCGGCCGUAACUAUAACGGUCCUAAGGUAGCGAAGUCCCUUGUCGGGUAAGUUCCGACCCGCACGAAUGGCGUAACGACUUCAGCACUGUCUCAACGAUGGACUCGGUGAAAUUGCAGGACCGGUAAAGAUGCCGGUUACGCGCAGCAGGACAAAAAGACCCCGUGGAGCUUUACUGCAACUUGGCAUUGGUUCGAGUUUUAAAAUGUGUAGGAUAGGCGGGAGACUUUGAACUCUAGGCGUUAGCCUAGGGGGAGUCGCCCUUGAAAUACCGCCCUUUUUAUGAUUUGGACCUAACACUUUUGGACAGUGUCUGGUGGGCAGUUUGACUGGGGCGGUCGCCUCCCAAAGAGUAACGGAGGCGUACAAAGGUCACCUCAGGCUGGAUGGAAAUCAGCUUUUGAGUGCAUUGGCAUAAGGUGGCUUGACUGCGAGACCUACAAGUCGAGCAGGGACGAAAGUCGGUCAAAGUGAUCCCACGAUUCCGAGUGGAAGGGUCGUGGCUUAACGGAUAAAAGCUACCCCGGGGAUAACAGGCUUAUCUUGCCCAAGAGUCCAUAUCGACGGCAAGGUUUGGCACCUCGAUGUCGGCUCGUCGCAUCCUGGGGCUGAAGAAGGUCCCAAGGGUCGGGCUGUUCGCCCGUUAAAGCGGCACGCGAGCUGGGUUCAGAGCGUCGUGAGACAGCUCGGUCUCUAUCCGCUGUGCGCGUAGGAUAUUUGAAGGAAUUUGCUCCUAGUACGAGAGGACCGGAGUGAGCAAACCAAUGGUGUAUCGGUUGUAACGCCAGUUGCAUUGCCGAGUAGCUAAGUUUGUUAGGGAUAAGCGCUGAAAGCAUCUAAGUACGAAGCCCCUCCUGAGAUAAGAUAUCCCAUCUCUUUAUGAGAGUAAGAUCCCCGGAAGACUACCGGGUUGAUAGGCUACAUGUGUAAGUAUAGUAAUAUAUUCAGCUAAGUAGUACUAAUAGAUCGAGGAUUUGAUAAA